RNAcentral lists this ribosomal RNA (735 nucleotides) under uncultured Bacteroidales bacterium. RNAcentral describes it as "bacterial SSU rRNA". It matches the Rfam family "Bacterial small subunit ribosomal RNA", at positions 28 to 754 of the family's 1533-position model. The record is from RNAcentral. Lineage: Bacteria; Pseudomonadati; Bacteroidota; Bacteroidia; Bacteroidales.
GAUGAACGCUAGCUACAGGCUUAACACAUGCAAGUCGAGGGGCAGCAUGAUUGAAGCUUGCUUCAACUGAUGGCGACCGGCGCACGGGUGAGUAACACGUAUCCAACCUGCCGAUAACUCGGGGAUAGCCUUUCGAAAGAAAGAUUAAUACCCGAUAGUAUAGUAUUUCCGCAUGGUUUCACUAUUAAAGAAUUUCGGUUAUCGAUGGGGAUGCGUUCCAUUAGAUAGUUGGCGGGGUAACGGCCACCAAGUCAACGAUGGAUAGGGGUUCUGAGAGGAAGGUCCCCCACAUUGGAACUGAGACACGGUCCAAACUCCUACGGGAGGCAGCAGUGAGGAAUAUUGGUCAAUGGACGAGAGUCUGAACCAGCCAAGUAGCGUGAAGGAUGACUGCCCUAUGGGUUGUAAACUUCUUUUAUACUGGAAUAAAGUGGAGUAUGCAUACUCCUUUGUAUGUACCGUAUGAAUAAGGAUCGGCUAACUCCGUGCCAGCAGCCGCGGUAAUACGGAGGAUCCGAGCGUUAUCCGGAUUUAUUGGGUUUAAAGGGAGCGUAGGCGGGUGCUUAAGUCAGUUGUGAAAGUUUGCGGCUCAACCGUAAAAUUGCAGUUGAUACUGGGCGCCUUGAGUGCAGCAUAGGUAGGCGGAAUUCGUGGUGUAGCGGUGAAAUGCUUAGAUAUCACGAAGAACUCCGAUUGCGAAGGCAGCUUACUGGACUGUAACUGACGCUGAUGCUC